This 356-nucleotide ribosomal RNA is filed under the name Pseudoarachnodes hanskii. RNAcentral's name for it is "partial 16S ribosomal RNA". The stretch from base 1 to 168 matches the Rfam family "Archaeal large subunit ribosomal RNA", at positions 1949 to 2143 of the family's 2987-position model. Lineage: Eukaryota; Metazoa; Arthropoda; Insecta; Coleoptera; Scarabaeidae. The record is from RNAcentral.
ACCUGCCCUAUGAAUAAUUUACUUUUAAAUGGCUGCGGUACUCUGACCGUGCAAAGGUAGCAUAAUAAUUAGUUUCUUAAUUGGGAACUGGAAUGAAUGGUCGAACGAGAAAAAGACUGUCUCAAUUUAAUUUAAAUUAGAAUUUUAUUUUUGAGUAAAAAAGCUUAAAUGUACUUAAAAGACGAGAAGACCCUAUAGAGUUUUAUAUAAAUAAUUAUAAUUGAAAGUUAAAGUAUUAUAGAUUUGACUAUAAUUAUUUAUAUUUGGUUGGGGCGAUUAAAAAAUUAAACAAACUUUUUUUAAAUUAAACCAUUGAUUUAUGAGUAAAUGAUCCAUAUAUAAUUAUGAUUAAAAGA